GGGUCUGUGGCUCUGUGGAAGAGCCUCUGCUUUCCAUGCAGAAGGUCCCAGGUUCAAUCCCUGGCAUGUCCA
Non-coding RNA from Gekko japonicus, 72 nucleotides. Lineage: Eukaryota; Metazoa; Chordata; Lepidosauria; Squamata; Gekkonidae. The record is from the annotation of a RefSeq genome assembly.